GCAGGAUAUAUAAAUCUAUGGGCUUAAACAAGCUUUGAGAGCAUGGUUUAGAAGACUCUCACGACAACUACUUGAAUAUGAUUUCCUUGAAUCUUUUGUUGAUUCAUCUCUAUAUAUUUAUGGCAGGAAUAACUUAUAAAUAUUUGUUCUUGUUUAUGUAGACAAUAUCAUCGCGACAAGAACAAUACAACGGGUAUUACUCAGUUUAUUGCUGUACUAGGAGCUGCACACCUUGAAGAUGAUUGGCAGUGGUGAGAAGGUUGUAGAACUCUAUGUUCUUGAUACUAGUUUACUUGAUCUGGUAGCAAAUAAACGUAGCAUUGUUACUAGUCAUACUUAGCAUCAUAGAUUAGGCCAUUUAUCUUUUAAAAGGUUAAAUUUGUUGAAAGACAAAUUGAGAAUUGAUUGGAUGAAGGAAUGUCAUUUUUGCUCUAUGUUCAAUAUGUCCUUUAGCCAAGCAAAGACGGCUUUCAUUUGUAUCAAACAAUCAUUUAGCUCAGGCUGUAUUUGACUUAGUUCACUGUGAUGUUUGGGGCCCCUAUAAUGUCCCUACACAUGCUAGUUAUAGAUACUUUUUAACAUUGGUUGA
This is a long non-coding RNA of Olea europaea var. sylvestris, 589 nucleotides long. RefSeq lists it as uncharacterized. The transcript is spliced from 2 exons. Lineage: Eukaryota; Viridiplantae; Streptophyta; Magnoliopsida; Lamiales; Oleaceae. The record is from RefSeq and is a predicted model, not a curated record.